AUGAACGCUGGCGGCGUGCCUCAUACAUGCAAGUCGAGCGAACAGACGAGGAGCUUGCUCCUCUGACGUUAGCGGCGGACGGGUGAGUAACACGUGGAUAACCUACCUAUAAGACUGGGAUAACUUCGGGAAACCGGAGCUAAUACCGGAUAAUAUAUUGAACCGCAUGGUUCAAUAGUGAAAGACGGUUUUGCUGUCACUUAUAGAUGGAUCCGCGCCGCAUUAGCUAGUUGGUAAGGUAACGGCUUACCAAGGCAACGAUGCGUAGCCGACCUGAGAGGGUGAUCGGCCACACUGGAACUGAGACACGGUCCAGACUCCUACGGGAGGCAGCAGUAGGGAAUCUUCCGCAAUGGGCGAAAGCCUGACGGAGCAACGCCGCGUGAGUGAUGAAGGUCUUCGGAUCGUAAAUCUCUGUUAUUAGGGAAGAACAAAUGUGUAAGUAACUAUGCACGUCUUGACGGUACCUAAUCAGAAAGCCACGGCUAACUACGUG
RNAcentral lists this ribosomal RNA (496 nucleotides) under uncultured bacterium. Its description in RNAcentral is "partial 16S ribosomal RNA". It matches the Rfam family "Bacterial small subunit ribosomal RNA", at positions 29 to 507 of the family's 1533-position model. The record is from RNAcentral.